RNAcentral lists this ribosomal RNA (460 nucleotides) under uncultured bacterium. RNAcentral's name for it is "SSU rRNA". It matches the Rfam family "Bacterial small subunit ribosomal RNA", at positions 26 to 518 of the family's 1533-position model. The record is from RNAcentral.
AGAAUCAACGCUGGCGGCGUGCCUAACACAUGCAAGUCGAACGAGAAAGUGGAGCAAUCCACGAGUAAAGUGGCGCACGGGUGAGUAACACGUGACUAACCUACCCUUGAGUGGGGGAUAACCUAGGGAAACCUGGGCUAAUACCGCAUAAUACCUUCGGGUCAAAGGAGCAAUUCGCUUAAGGAGGGGGUCGCGGCCGAUUAGUUAGUUGGCGGGGUAAUGGCCCACCAAGACGAUGAUCGGUAUCCGGCCUGAGAGGGCGCACGGACACACUGGAACUGAAACACGGUCCAGACUCCUACGGGAGGCAGCAGUGGGGAAUUUUGCGCAAUGGGGGAAACCCUGACGCAGCAACGCCGCGUGGAGGAUGAAGCCCCUUGGGGCGUAAACUCCUUUCGAUCGGGACGAUAAUGACGGUACCGGAAGAAGAAGCCCCGGCUAACUUCGUGCCAGCAGCCGC